Long non-coding RNA from Oreochromis niloticus (Nile tilapia), 207 nucleotides. RefSeq lists it as uncharacterized. The transcript is spliced from 3 exons. NCBI's taxonomy places the organism in Eukaryota, Metazoa, Chordata, Actinopteri, Cichliformes, Cichlidae. The record is from RefSeq and is a predicted model, not a curated record.
AGCAUGCACACUUAGAAACAUCUGAAGUACGUGGAGUUAAAAUAGUGUUGUAACUCAUGGAUUAUACGGUGAUCAUCUUUCUGCUGAUAGGAGCGCUGGUUAAUGGUACAUUUAGUCAAACUCAUCAGUACUACUAUGUGAGCACCUCACUGAACUGGACGGAGGCACAGAGCCACUGCAGAGAUGCCUACACUGACCUGGCCACCA